This is a long non-coding RNA of Cyprinus carpio (common carp), 1019 nucleotides long. The record is from Ensembl. Lineage: Eukaryota; Metazoa; Chordata; Actinopteri; Cypriniformes; Cyprinidae.
CUUAUCUGAUUUUAAGUGGCAGAAUAGAGACGCGGUGGACUCUGGGAAGGGAGAGGCCCGAAACUAUGCCAUUUGUCAUUGUAAUAUAAGGAAACGUAGCUGAUUACAUGGCCAUCAAUGAUUGGCUCUUCAAUGGAGUCAUUCAUUAAAUGCUAUAAUCAAUGGCAGAGACUGAAGGAGGUUUAAAUUCUGGAAAUGUGAGGCCACUUGAAGAAUCAGAAAAUGCACGACAGGGAUCAUGUGCACAAAAAUAAUUUUCUGAUGCCCUCUGAGAAGUUUUGAAUAUCAGAAGGAGAUCUGUUCUGCGAGAUAUUUUUGCAUAUAUAUACAAGUCUGGGUUCAUAUAUUUUUUUAAAGAAAUCUAUGUCUCUUCUGCUCAUCAACGCUGCAUUUAUUUGAUCAAAAAUAAAGUAAAAAGACUAAUGCUGUGAACUAUAAUUUCAAGUAACUGUUUUCCAUUUGACUAUAUUAAUUUAUAUCUGUGAUGCAAAGCUGAAUUUUCAGCAGCCAUUACUCCAGACUUCAGUGUCAAUUUCUUAUUAUUACCAAUGUUCUUAAAGAGCUGUUAAAAUUAUGCACUUUCUCAUUUUGUGCUGUUCUGCAUUUAACCUCAUUUAAAUGUUGUUUUUCUUAAUACUUAAAAUAUGAUGUCAUUGUAAUAGUUUGCAUUUUGAAUUCUGAUUGGGCUUCCUUGUAUCUCUUUACCCUAUAGCUGUUGUGAAGGUGCUAAAAAGAUGGUGACCAAUGGCAGACUGUGAAAGUGUUAAGGAAACCUGUUUGAAAAUGGUAAAGCCAGCGCAGGUGCUUCGGUCUCAAACAUGCAGGACUUCUAUCAGACAUAAUGCCCUUCGUAACACAACACUCUAUUGACGAAGACUGAACAGGUGCUUUAACUCUGAUUAAUUCAUCUGAACCAGACAGAGGAUUAACGCAGUCAUUGCACUCUUAUCUGGAGCACUGCCUGGACACCAGCGUUGCCGCGCUACCAAAUGGACCUUUCUAAUGUGGACUGAAGGGUG